RNAcentral lists this ribosomal RNA (753 nucleotides) under Triticum aestivum (bread wheat). Its description in RNAcentral is "partial small subunit ribosomal RNA". The record is from RNAcentral. Lineage: Eukaryota; Viridiplantae; Streptophyta; Magnoliopsida; Poales; Poaceae.
AUGUUGGCAAAACAAAGCUGGAGGCAGUUAACACAUCCUGAAACAUUAUGUGCCAAAGUUCUGCGGUCUAAAUAUUUUCCUGAUGGGAAUCUUCUUGAAGCAGGACCCAAAAAGGGGUCAUCUUAUACAUGGAAAAGCAUCUUGGCGGGGCUACAGACUUUCCGAAGAGGUCACAUUUGGUGAAUUGGUUCCGGUGAGAGAAUUAAUAUAUGGGAUGAUCAUUGGAUCCCUUCUAGCCACACUAGGAUGGUCAUAACAAGGAGGGGUAAUUCCUUGCUCCGGACAGUCGACGAACUAAUGGUUCCAGGAACUGCUAGUUGGGAUGAGGCACUUAUAAGAAGCAUCUUCCUACCUCUGGAUGCCGAGAGAAUCUUAAGAAUCCCACUGUCAGAAAAUAUUGUGGAGGACUUCGUCGCAUGGAAUAACACCAAAUCUUUCUCUUUCACUGUCCGAUCGGCGUAUUAUGUUGAAUGGGAACACCAGUUUGGAUCAAGAUGUUCAAGCAUCCAGGGCACAUCAAAUAUUAAUCCGGUUUGGGAAACGGUUUGGAAACUGGAGAUACCGAGUAAAGUGAAGAUAUUUAUUUGGCGGGCGCUUCAUGGUUUAAUCCCUGGUAUGGCAGUCUUAGCUCGCAAACAUAUUAAGGUUUCACCCCUUUGUCCCGUGUGCAAGUCUGGUCUGGAAGACAUUAAGCACUUGAUUUUCAGCUUCCCUAGAGCGAUGUCAGUAUUGGCGUGCACUUGGCUUGGAUGA